AUACGAAGGUCCCGAGCGUUAUUCGGAAUCACUGGGCGUAAAGGGAGCGUAGGCUGUAGGGUAAGUCAGAUGUGAAAUCUCAGAGCUCAACUCUGAAACUGCAUCCGAUACUGCCGUACUAGAGUAAUGGAGGGGGAACUGGAAUUCUCGGUGUAGCAGUGAAAUGCGUAGAUAUCGAGAGGUAGACCAACGGCGAAGGCAGGUUACUGGACAUUUACUGACGCUGAGGCUCGAAGGCUAGGGUAGCGAAAGGGAUUAGAAACCCCAGUAGUCC
RNAcentral lists this ribosomal RNA (274 nucleotides) under uncultured bacterium. Its description in RNAcentral is "partial 16S ribosomal RNA". It matches the Rfam family "Bacterial small subunit ribosomal RNA", at positions 523 to 796 of the family's 1533-position model. The record is from RNAcentral.